RNAcentral lists this unclassified non-coding RNA (304 nucleotides) under Haliotis rubra (blacklip abalone). Its description in RNAcentral is "beta-1,3-galactosyltransferase 1-like, transcript variant X2". The record is from RNAcentral. Lineage: Eukaryota; Metazoa; Mollusca; Gastropoda; Lepetellida; Haliotidae.
GACCUCAUGUGUCAAUCAUAGUUAGUCAAGUGAACAUUACGUUGUAGUUGAAUGACUUGUUAAAUGGCCUCGCUAUCAACCCAUGUCGUCACCACACAAUUGUUGAAAUCUUGACAUCUCAGCUGGCGCAUCCAUAGCCUCCAGUCAGUGAUCUAGAGCUUCAGGAAGAAGGGGAAGUCUAUAGACUCUUGGUUUACACUUACACACCUGCCUCCAGAAUGCUUAGUAUUAUCCGCUGUCCGGGGAGGUCCAGGGCGAAGACAUGGCGGUUGGUACCAGCAAUCUGCUUAGUGUGUGUCAUGUA